GCGGCACUGAGGAUCGCGUUCCGUUCCGGUGACGGUCGCGAUGGCGAACAACGGCUGGUCGCCGGCGCGUGCGGCGCACGCCUGCUGCC
Molecule: transfer RNA, 89 nt
Filed under: Salmonella enterica subsp. salamae serovar Greenside
Lineage: Bacteria; Pseudomonadati; Pseudomonadota; Gammaproteobacteria; Enterobacterales; Enterobacteriaceae
Description: tRNA-His(gtg)
Source: RNAcentral